CCCUUUGGGCUGGACUUUGGGCUUUUACACUUUGCAAACCUGUUACAUGCACAAAAAAGAUAUAUAACUCAAUAAAGGAGGGGGAAAAAGCCAAAAAGCAUAAUACCACCUCUUUAACACCGGAAAGGAUUUGACCGAUUCGAAGUUUUGGCGCCAAAUAUUGCUGAAAUAUGAAGGGGGCGUGGCGUGAGCAAGGGCGCGACUGGAGGAGCUUGACGUCACCAUUGGAGCUUGGCUGAAUUCAGCGCCGACAAAACGUAGCAAAACAUAUGUUUUUAAACAGAAACAGUGGUGCCUUGAACACACAGUUGUGUAGGCUUACUGCAUUUUUAACCACGGCUGUGUUUACAAACGUAUUGCAGCUGAACACCUCUGACACGCCCACCAAACGGGGAAGCUCGUUGCGCAGCAUUGAUCAUAUUUGAUCCUCUAUGAUCUGAUCAUAGGCUGUGGAUCUGAUCCACUAAAUCCCCCAAAUAGUAGGCUAUGAAGAAGAAGAAGCAGCAGCAGCAGCAGCAGCAGCAGCUGGGAGGUAGUUAGGAGUAUAGAGUGCUGCUGAAGGAAUUUCAUCUUGCCCAUCAUCACCUGACUUGCAAAAGCAGCUCUGAUAUUGGUGUUUGCUGAGUUCCAUGACUUUACAAAUGUUGAACCUAUGUAACCAAUUCUACUGCAAGCUUGAGAGAUACACACCACAACUGAUUGCCCUGUACAGUCAGAAGGCCAAGACAGUAGAGGCUCUGCAGAGAGCUUAAGGAUUCAUGACUUUCGGGAACAACAUGAGGGAGACAUGAGAUGCCGUCCAACCCUCCAUGCCCUCACAGUGGACCUGCUAGAGGAUGACUGACUUCUUCAAAACCUGCAAUUGAAGUACUCAGUGUACUCACAGAAAUGUCAAUAUCAACGACAAGUAAUAUAUAAUGUACUACGGGUAACCAACUUGAAUGCCUCUUCCAGCAACUGACAGGUUUAAAGAGAUUAGGGCUGAAAUGAUUCAUCGAUUAAUUCAAUUACUAAAAAGUAUUGACGCAAAUUCUUUGUAUCUUCUUCCAGCACUGCCAAGCAAUCUGUAGAAGCUUCAAUUAUAAAAAUCAUCGUUAGCUGCAGCCCUAAAAGAGAUUAAAGGAUAGGUUUGUGUUUUUUGUACUCUAUCUCAGAACAAUGCUAAAAUAUGAUGUAAAAUAUGUGAUGUGUUUCCACCCAAGUGAAAGGUGGCUGUGGAUGGAUUUGUCUGUUUCUCUGGGGGUGGUGAUGGAGCAUAAGACACAUGCCUUUGGUGUGAGAGAAUUCCCCCCUGUGACACUUCCACCAAUGUGUCCCUGAGCAGGACACUUUACCCCUAGUUGCUCCAGGUGCAACCUCUGACAUAUAUAGCUAUUGUAAGUAACUUUGGAUAAAAGCGUCAGCUAAAUGAAUAAAUGUAACUCAUGUACAAACUUCUGAACUGUCCGUCUAUGUUUACUGCAAGCUUACAGUGAAGGAUAUUCAAAACAAAGGUCAGUGUUCUUUUUUAUAUUGUUCCAUUACCUCGUCUACCUGACUUAACAAUUUGCAUAGUUAUUUUAAACAAUAUUUAUUAGCUAUCUUUAUUUUCUUAUGAUUCCAUAAAGUUGAAUUUCUUUUGUUCAUUUAUUUUAAUUUAUUGGUCAUUUUUUUUCGAACUCCGCAUUUAAAGCUCCUUUUUAUAUUAUUUAAGUAAAAGUGCUGCUGAUGGAAUAAAAUUAUGCAUAGUUGCAUUUUCCACAAAACACAGUAAAGUAAGUAGUAAAAGGAAAUUUUGUUUAGCUCAGACGACUUUGCUCAAGAGAUUGAAGUUAUUAUCACUUAACACCAAAAAAUCUCGUUAAGAAUCUGGAAAUAGAGAAUGUUCAACAUUAUUGCAACAACAAACGAAGACAAAUUGAUUAUCAUAAUUGUUGCUGGUUAAUUAUCUGAUCAAGCAGUCAGCUUUAUGCAAGAUGUGCCCUAUUUUGUGUCCGUUAAAUGUAGAAUUGA
This is a long non-coding RNA of Micropterus dolomieu (smallmouth bass), 1992 nucleotides long. RefSeq lists it as uncharacterized. The record is from RefSeq and is a predicted model, not a curated record. NCBI's taxonomy places the organism in Eukaryota, Metazoa, Chordata, Actinopteri, Centrarchiformes, Centrarchidae. The transcript is spliced from 4 exons.